GAGCUGGACGUGGUGGCU
Molecule: unclassified non-coding RNA, 18 nt
Filed under: Mus musculus (house mouse)
Lineage: Eukaryota; Metazoa; Chordata; Mammalia; Rodentia; Muridae
Description: oocyte_clustered_small_RNA10770
Source: RNAcentral